UGUCAAUUAGGAGAUACGGAUACUCAUAAUUUUAUUCAAAUCUGAACUCGAAUAAAGUAAAUUUAUUUGAUAUUUAACGGAUAUAAUUAUGAAUACGAAUAUAAAAAAAAAACCGAGGUUUUGAAUUUGGGAUGGAUUUUGUCCGUACUCAACUCGAACCCGAACCCGAAGCCGACCCGAACGAAUUGAUUUUAUAUUAUAUAAUGUAUAUAAAAAUAUUUAAUGUUAUACUUGAAUUUAUAUUUUCAAAAAUUUAGCUUAAAUAUAAUUUGUUCUGAAAUAUGGUAAAAAGAAAUAAUAUUUUAGGUUCGGAUUUUCGGCUUUGAAUUUGAAUCUGAAUUUUGAAAAUAUGUCAAAUUCGACUUUGGGGUUUGGAUUAUGGAUUUGGUAGUUUGGUUCGGAGUUCAGAUUAUGGAUUUGGUAGUUUGGUUCAGCUUCGGAGUUUUGAAAAUUUGCUCCGAAUCUGUCCAUUGACAUCCCUAGUGCCAAUAUCUUUUUUUUUUUUGAAAGAAAGAUAACAUGCUACCCGUUUCGUUUAUUUCAUUUAGAAAUAAACUUAGCUGGAAAUGUGAAUCAACUAGGAUUCAAACUUAGGUCUUAGAUACCAACGACCAAACCUUUUUGCCACUUGCACUAUAGAGGUUCCC
Molecule: long non-coding RNA, 647 nt
Filed under: Ananas comosus (pineapple)
Lineage: Eukaryota; Viridiplantae; Streptophyta; Magnoliopsida; Poales; Bromeliaceae
Description: long non-coding RNA (ACOM_LNC029523)
Source: RNAcentral